GGGCGCAUAGCUCAGUUGGUUAGAGCGCGUGCUUCACACGCACGAGGUCGGGGGUUCGAAUCCCUCUGCGCCCACCA
RNAcentral lists this transfer RNA (77 nucleotides) under Planctomycetota bacterium. RNAcentral describes it as "tRNA-Val". It matches the Rfam family "tRNA". From Rfam's summary of the family: Transfer RNA (tRNA) molecules are approximately 80 nucleotides in length. Their secondary structure includes four short double-helical elements and three loops (D, anti-codon, and T loops). RNAcentral also lists the same sequence under 1 other name. Lineage: Bacteria; Pseudomonadati; Planctomycetota. The record is from RNAcentral.